AUGCUGCGAGACCCGCAUGCAUUGCACACACACAAAACCCUGCAUUCUCCUCCGCCCUUUCUCUCUCGUACGUACUAUAAACAAAGGAAGAGAACAGCGGGCCAUGUGCCAGAUCUCCCCAUUUUUUUCUCUUUAUCUAGGACUCCCUCCAUCGUGCUUUUGUCUAAUUGCGUGGCGGUGCCUGUCGUGGCGAGGCGGCAUCACCAGAUCAAUGCCAAGCACUCGGUAGCAGAAGCAGCAGCCACGAGCAUCGCACCCAAACCACUCUGCAGGGUUUUGCUUGCUGAGCACAAGGCACAUUGCACUAAAAGAGUGGUGUUGGGGCAGCAGUUCCUCGGCGAUGCUCAGAUCCACAACCCUGCAGCGCCUGGGGCAGAUCUGCCUUCCUUGCUGAAGGAGGCUGGCUGUGAUUCUGGGGAAGGGAUAACCCAUUUCUUGGGAUCUGCUGUGGUUUUCCAUCCUGGGAAUGCACCAAAGACUGGUGCAAAACCUCCCAUUUACCUCCCAAGUGAGGGAAGGAUUGCUGUUUGGUUCUGGGGUAAGUCCCCAUUUGCUUUUCUGGAGAAAGUAUAAAAUUCCUAAAAGCUACGGGAGCCACGAGUGAAGGGAAUAUCACUCUGUUCUCUCCACCUCUUCCACACCUAUAGAGGAAGCUAUUCCACAUAUGCUGAGGAAGAAAACAGCUUUUUCUUCUGGCUUCUCAAAGCACAAAGCUCAGCAGCUCACCUUGCCCCAUCUGACACAUUAAUCAGGAGAACAACACCUGGGCACUACCAGACCUGCUCAUCUCUGGAUGUGGAGACACCAAAAAGAAGAAGCUUGAAGGAAUCACAGCUGAUUGUGGAGAAAUAUCUGGUCCCCACCUUCUUCAGUUCUGAUCCUGUCUGAAAAAAAAAAAAAAAAAAAAGAUUAGGUCAAGGUAAAGUAUGAUUUUCUUGUUGAAGAGAGAGAACAUUUAAAAAGUGAAAAAGGUGGAGUGAGAACUAUUAUGUGUGCAAGGUUUGGGGGUAUUUGUGGCUGGACUAAGGGUAGUUAGGUGGAGGAUAAGGAGAGAGUUGUGUAGACCUUGCUUUGCUCUUGCUCUUCCACUUCUCUACAAAUUCUUGUAAGCUCAGGAUUACUGAGGUUAGAUUCAUAGUUUUCUAGGGGAGUUAGUGUGGGAUAGAUGAAGGGGAAAAAUAAAGUAUGGGAAGAUACCUUCA
This 1202-nucleotide long non-coding RNA is filed under the name Anser brachyrhynchus (Pink-footed goose). RNAcentral's name for it is "lncRNA (ENSABRG00000009130.1)". Lineage: Eukaryota; Metazoa; Chordata; Aves; Anseriformes; Anatidae. The record is from RNAcentral.